GGCCAGUUUGAGGUCGAUAGAGCGAUUGAAAUCAGCUGGCUGAACGCGGGACGCAUCCCGGAACAGCGAGCAAGUGCAGUUCUUCCCAGAAGCAGCUCCUGUGAGGCUCAGGGUGCAGAGCUGGGUCUUCAGCAUCCGACUUUUGUGAUAGGUUUAGGAUUUGAGGACCCCUCCAUCUCUCGGAAGAAAUGUCCACCCCAGAUGAAGGAGAUGUGAAUGGUCCCACCCAGAACCCAACUUCAUCUUGACCCCUAUUCUGGGAGGUCUCCUGCUCCCUAUCUCUUCAUUUCUUCUCAUUGGACCCGGAAUCGAUUGCCUCCAUACACAGUUGCUUAUACCCAGCAUGCAGCACUGGAGCUGGCACAUAACAGGAGCCUGAUAAAUAUUUGCAGAGAAGUGAAUGAAAUGAAAAGCUACACUUACACAACAAGUACCUCCUGAUGUUGUUUCCUGGUGACAGGCAGCUUCUGUUCUGAGAAUACAAUGGACUUUGUCUCUUAUGGAUGAUUUAUUCUGUCAAUAAUUUGCCAGGGGAGGGCAGUAGCUCCUUGCUUCCAACUCUUGUCUCCACAUUCCUCUUCUGUAAAUCAAUCCUUCCCCGAACUGUAGCGGAACCAAAUCCCAUGGAUUCUACCUGAGCUCUGCCUCUGGACCCCCACCCUUCCUUCUGCCGCUGCCUUUCGGGGUCUUUGUCACUUCUUGCCCGGAUUCCCACCCUAGAUUCCUAAUUGGGUUCCUUGGCAACAGUCUUGCCCAAUCCUGCCUCACCUCCCCCUCAGCUGCCAGACAUGUCAUCAUCAAAAUAUUUGAAAAACGAAUUCUAGGGUUAAAGACCUCCCCUGCUCUCUGGAACCUAGAGAUAAGAUCAAGUGCAAACAUUUCGGCAUGAGGUUCAAUAAGCCUUCCAAUCUGCCCUGGGGUCCUUCUCCUAGCUCCUCUCCCAUAGGCCCCCCUUUCCCACCAUGCAGCCUCUGCCCAGCCACACUAUUGAAUGAAUGUGACUCCCCAGCUGCAAAGCCGUGACGUGAUGCGGGCCAUCUUCUUUCCUGGCCUGCCUUGUCUCCCCUGCGGCAGCCCACAGUCUCCCUCCUGACUCGUUCUCGGGAAGCCUG
Long non-coding RNA from Panthera uncia (snow leopard), 1112 nucleotides. RefSeq lists it as uncharacterized. NCBI's taxonomy places the organism in Eukaryota, Metazoa, Chordata, Mammalia, Carnivora, Felidae. The record is from RefSeq and is a predicted model, not a curated record. The transcript is spliced from 3 exons.